UCGAGAAUCUUCGGCAAUGGGCGAAAGCCUGACCGAGCGAUGCCGCGUGAGGGAUGAAUGCCUUCGGGUCGUAAACCUCUGUCACCCGGGACGAAGAAUGUGACGGUACCGGGAGAGGAAGCACCGGCUAACUACGUGCCAGCAGCCGCGGUAAUACGUAGGGUGCGAGCGUUAUUCGGAUUUACUGGGCGUAAAGGGUCCGCAGGGGGUUUGCCAAGUCCGAUGUGAAAUACCCCAGCUCAACUGUGGAACGGCAUUGGAUACUGGCGAACGUGAGUGCACGAGGGGUGAGCGGAAUUCCUGGUGUAGCGGUGGAAUGCGUAGAUAUCAGGAAGAACACCGAUGGCGAAGGCGGCUCACUGGCGUGCAACUGACCCUCAGGGACGAAAGCGUGGGGAGCAAACA
This 405-nucleotide ribosomal RNA is filed under the name uncultured prokaryote. RNAcentral's name for it is "bacterial SSU rRNA". It matches the Rfam family "Bacterial small subunit ribosomal RNA", at positions 355 to 774 of the family's 1533-position model. The record is from RNAcentral.